RNAcentral lists this RNase P RNA (277 nucleotides) under Pseudobutyrivibrio sp. RNAcentral describes it as "partial RNase P RNA component class A". It matches the Rfam family "Bacterial RNase P class A", at positions 1 to 289 of the family's 367-position model. Rfam says of the family: Ribonuclease P (RNase P) is a ubiquitous endoribonuclease, found in archaea, bacteria and eukarya as well as chloroplasts and mitochondria. Lineage: Bacteria; Bacillati; Bacillota; Clostridia; Lachnospirales; Lachnospiraceae. The record is from RNAcentral.
AAGGUCCGAUGAGUAGUCGCUGCUUUACUGUAAUGGUAGAGGAGAGGAAAGUCCGGGCUUCACAGGGCAAGGAUGCCAGCUAACAGCUGGUGGAGGUGACUCCAAGGAUAGUGCAACAGAGAGAUACCGCCUAUAGCAAUAUAGGUAAGGGUGGAAAGGCGGUGUAAGAGACCACCGUACCGCUGGUAACAGCGGUAGCCAUGUAAACCCCAUCCGAAGCAAGUUCUAAAAAGCGCGUACGUGGCCCGCCAGCGCUAGGUUGAACGCUUGAGACCAC